This 384-nucleotide long non-coding RNA is filed under the name Homo sapiens (human). RNAcentral describes it as "HSALNT0372543". The record is from RNAcentral. Lineage: Eukaryota; Metazoa; Chordata; Mammalia; Primates; Hominidae.
AAAGCCGUUUACAAAUCAGCCUGUCCAGGGAUUCAGGCUGGAACAGCUGGCGAGGCCUAUGAGCAGGUUUACUGCUGGAGUCCUUGGGUAGGCUGCCUUGGUGACUGAUCAGUGGGGACUUGGGCCUGAUACCUUGGUCCAUAAGACAUGGGCCUGGUUCUGGGGCAGUCCUGGAGCCUCCAUAUGUGGAAGGCGUUCUGGAGCUGAGGUGCCAUAAUCUUUCACCUGGGUUCCUUAGCUCUUGUGAAGGUAUCUUCAUGCAUGGAUGGUAGUUCAAACUGAUGUUUCUUUGAAAGACUCUGGCCUUGUCAAAAGAAGGACGUAAGAAGGCACGAUGUAUUAUACUUGGGAAUGAUAGAAGAGACUGACCUGGUAUUUCCACCC